Molecule: ribosomal RNA, 229 nt
Filed under: uncultured bacterium
Lineage: Bacteria
Description: partial 16S ribosomal RNA
Rfam family: Bacterial small subunit ribosomal RNA
Source: RNAcentral
UGCGCAGGCGGAAUGAUUAGUCAGUGGUGAAAUCCUACAGCUCAACCGUAGAACUGCCAUUGAUACUGUCAUUCUUGAGUACAGUGGAAGUGGGCGGAAUGUAUCAUGUAGCGGUGAAAUGCAUAGAUAUGAUACAGAACACCGAUAGCGAAAGCAGCUCACUAUACUGUAACUGACGCUCAGGCACGAAAGCGUGGGGAGCAAACAGGAUUAGAUACCCUGGUAGUCC